GACGAACGCUGGCGGCGUGCUUAACACAUGCAAGUCGAACGGAAAGGCCCUGCUUUUGUGGGGUGCUCGAGUGGCGAACGGGUGAGUAACACGUGAGUAACCUGCCCUUGACUUUGGGAUAACUUCAGGAAACUGGGGCUAAUACCGGAUAGGAGCUCCUGCUGCAUGGUGGGGGUUGGAAAGUUUCGGCGGUUGGGGAUGGACUCGCGGCUUAUCAGCUUGUUGGUGGGGUAGUGGCUUACCAAGGCUUUGACGGGUAGCCGGCCUGAGAGGGUGACCGGCGACAUUGGGACUGAGAUACGGCCCAGACUCCUACGGGAGGCAGCAGUGGAGAAUAUUGCACAGUGGGCGGAAGCCUGAUGCAGCAACGCCGCGUGCGGGAUGACGGCCUUCGGGUUGUAAACCGCUUUCGCCUGUGACGAAGCGUGAGUGACGGUAAUGGGUAAAGAAGCACCGGCUAACUACGUG
RNAcentral lists this ribosomal RNA (468 nucleotides) under uncultured bacterium. RNAcentral's name for it is "partial 16S ribosomal RNA". It matches the Rfam family "Bacterial small subunit ribosomal RNA", at positions 28 to 507 of the family's 1533-position model. The record is from RNAcentral.